CAAUAGCGUAUAUUAACGUUGUUGCAGUUAAAAAGCUCGUAGUUGGAUUUCUGGAGGGAGCGUCGGCCCGUAUUUACGAGUGCGUGACGUCUCUGUCCAUCCUUGCGGGAAGGCACGGCAUUGAUUUGUUGUGUCGGAUCGCAUCAUUUACUGUGAAAAAAUUAGAGUGUUCAAAGCAGGCUUUCGCUUGAAUACAUUAGCAUGGAAUAAUAAGAUAGGACUUUGGUGCUAUUUUGUUGGUUGAGCCUAAAGUAAUGAUUAAUAGGGAUAGUUGGGGGCACCUGUAUUGCGUUGUCAGAGGUGAAAUUCUUGGAUUUACGCAAGACAAACAGCUGCGAANGNGUCUGCNAAGGAUGUUUNCACUA
RNAcentral lists this ribosomal RNA (365 nucleotides) under uncultured eukaryote. RNAcentral's name for it is "partial 18S ribosomal RNA". It matches the Rfam family "Eukaryotic small subunit ribosomal RNA", at positions 592 to 975 of the family's 1831-position model. The record is from RNAcentral.